GGGUCAUUAGGUUGGUCGUGCCACCGGUACGUACUGGUCUCACUGAUUCCUCCUUCCUGAAUAACCGUAAUGCCAUUAAUUUGGUGUUGCGGGGAAACAGGACUGUUACUUUGAAAAAAUUAGAGUGUUUAAAGCAAGCUAACGCUUGAAUACAUUAGCAUGGAAUAAUGAAAUAGGACGAUCGAUCCUAUUUUGUUUGUUUCUAGGAUUGACGUA
Molecule: ribosomal RNA, 216 nt
Filed under: Glomeromycotina sp.
Lineage: Eukaryota; Fungi; Glomeromycota
Description: partial small subunit ribosomal RNA
Rfam family: Eukaryotic small subunit ribosomal RNA (bases 40-216)
Source: RNAcentral